UACAGAGGGGGCAAGCGUUGUUCGGAAUUACUGGGCGUAAAGGGCGCGUAGGCGGCCUUCUAAGUCGAACGUGAAAUCCCCGGGCUCAACCCGGGAACUGCGUCCGAUACUGGAAGGCUUGAAUCCGGGAGAGGGAUGUGGAAUUCCAGGUGUAGCGGUGAAAUGCGUAGAUAUCUGGAGGAACACCGGUGGCGAAGGCGGUUCUCUGGGCAUUACCUGACGCUGAGGAGCGAAAGCAUGGGGAGCGAACAGG
This 253-nucleotide ribosomal RNA is filed under the name uncultured bacterium. Its description in RNAcentral is "partial 16S ribosomal RNA". It matches the Rfam family "Bacterial small subunit ribosomal RNA", at positions 524 to 776 of the family's 1533-position model. The record is from RNAcentral.